RNAcentral lists this small nuclear RNA (312 nucleotides) under Microcebus murinus (gray mouse lemur). RNAcentral's name for it is "7SK RNA (ENSMICG00000025801.3)". It matches the Rfam family "7SK RNA". Rfam says of the family: 7SK was discovered as an abundant small nuclear RNA in the mid-70s but a possible function has only recently been suggested. Two independent studies have found that 7SK RNA binds the CDK9/cyclin T complex (known as elongation factor P-TEFb). The record is from Rfam by way of RNAcentral. Lineage: Eukaryota; Metazoa; Chordata; Mammalia; Primates; Cheirogaleidae.
GGAUGUGGAGGCCAUCUGGCUGUGGCAUCAAUCACCUCAUUGACUGUGAGGUUUGAUUCAGCUGGUUGGCUGCGCUGUGUUCCCUUCCUUCCCUACACCCACGUGCAUCCCUUCCCCCGGGAGCUGUGACAUCAGUCAAAGCAAACAACCUUUCCAGUGGAGGACGUCUAUUCAUGGUCAAGGGUAUGUGAGUAUGUGUGCUUCCCUAUUAGUGAUCUAAUAGAAUUAACCCUUUGCACUCAGAUGUCGAGUGUGGAUAAUGUCGAGUGGAUAAUGAGAAAAAAGCAAGCGAGUGCAAAGGGUUAACCCAUU